UCCAACUUUCAGAUGGUUAACAAACAUACGAGAGUAUUUACUUAUUGUAAAUACUCUAAAUAACAUUUGUGGUGGAAAUACACUGGUACUCAAAAAUUUAUUAAUCAGAAAGAAAGUCAGCAGAAAUGGAUAAAAAUAGUGAUUUGAGUCUCGCAGAGUGGGACAGAUUUUAGCUUUAUUGAUUGAUAUAACAGAAAUAGCAAUAAAACUUGGUAUUUCAACUCAAACAAUCAGCAAAAUUAAGAAGAAACUGAAUUACGAUCAACUUUUAAGCGCAAAAAGAGUGGAAAGAUGUGACAAGCAAUGGAAAACAACAAGAUUAGACAAAAAUAAUACAAAUGUCUCUUAACAAGAGAAGGACAUCUUGCAGGCAGAUUUGCUGUGACCAGGAGCAGCAGGUCUGUUAAUGAGAAGCUUCUGGAGAGUGGACUGAAAGUACAUCGUCCCAGAAAGAAGCAGCAAACUUACCGAACCCAAGAUAUUGGAAGGUUUAGGCUGAGCUGAGCAUCACAGUGAGUGGACUUCUGGACAAUGACAGCAGGUGGUGUUGUCUGACGAAUCAAGCAUUGCAGUGUUGGAUGACAGUGCUGACUGUAACAAGGCUGUCAGGUGAGGAUUUUAUGUCCGAAUGUCUCAAGAAGACGGUCAAAUUUCCUCAGAAAAUCUUGGUGUGGGAAGCCAUUUCCAUUCAUGGAACAAGUCGUUUGCACAUUGUUGAUGGUACCAUCAACCAGGUUAAGUGCACAGAAGUGCUACAACGACAAUUACUGCCUCAGGUAAAGGACUGGUAUGGUGAUGGACGUUGGAUAUUCCCACAAGACUCGGCACCAUGUGCACGGUAAAACCUGUAAUGUCGAGGUGUGCACAAUAUAGCGCUGAGCUGAUCCACUGGGCUGGAAAUUACUCCGACAUGAACGCUGAGAGUUUAUAGUCUGUACUGAAGAAAGAAAUACACGAAGUUCCCAUUACUAACAAACUGCAGCUCAUAAAAAGCCUUAUUAAGGUUGUGUUUCAUUCCGUCAGAAUAAAUGAAUUAUGCAAAACUUUGAUGGCUGGCAUGAUGCCCACACGUGUUAAAGAACCUGUGGACUUAUGGAUGCUAGCGAGAGUUAAACCAAUGUAAAAUAGUUUAUCAAUACUGGUGUAUCAAAAUAAAUCCAUUAACAGUCA
Molecule: long non-coding RNA, 1170 nt
Organism: Cherax quadricarinatus
Lineage: Eukaryota; Metazoa; Arthropoda; Malacostraca; Decapoda; Parastacidae
Source: RefSeq, a predicted model, not a curated record